Non-coding RNA from Phrynosoma platyrhinos (Desert horned lizard), 72 nucleotides. The record is from the annotation of a GenBank genome assembly. NCBI's taxonomy places the organism in Eukaryota, Metazoa, Chordata, Lepidosauria, Squamata, Phrynosomatidae.
GCCAGUGUGGUGUAGUGAUUUGAGCAUUGGUCUGAAAUUCUGGAGAUCAGGGUUCAAUUCCCUGCUUGGCCA